UACGGAGGGUGCAAGCGUUGUCCGGAAUCACUGGGCGUAAAGGGCGCGUAGGCGGCUCAUGAAGGCUGUGGUGAAAGUCCGGGGCUCAACCUCGGAUCGGCCGUGGCGACUCGUGGGCUGGAGCACUGUAGAGGCGGGUGGAAUUCCGGGUGUAGCGGUGGAAUGCGUAGAGAUCCGGAAGAACACCAGUGGCGAAGGCGGCCCCCUGGGCUAACACUGACGCUCAUGCACGAAAGCGUGGGGAGCAAACAGG
This 253-nucleotide ribosomal RNA is filed under the name uncultured bacterium. Its description in RNAcentral is "partial 16S ribosomal RNA". It matches the Rfam family "Bacterial small subunit ribosomal RNA", at positions 524 to 776 of the family's 1533-position model. The record is from RNAcentral.